RNAcentral lists this long non-coding RNA (903 nucleotides) under Nicotiana tabacum (common tobacco). RNAcentral describes it as "long non-coding RNA (NTAB_LNC006451)". The record is from RNAcentral. Lineage: Eukaryota; Viridiplantae; Streptophyta; Magnoliopsida; Solanales; Solanaceae.
UGCAUGCACUGACUCAACUUGUGUUGGCACCUUCGGCGACACUUCCUCUGCAACACCCAGUCAAGUGCCGUCAUCGAUUUGUCUGCACCUUUUGUUCCUUUACGAAAAUCGAUAACUCUGCUUUCAUACUUGUAUGUGCUGAUUUUGUCAAACCCACUUUGAUUAAUCUCUCUUUACUAUUACUUUUUUGUGCUUAAUUUCUUUUCUUAGAACUAAAUAUAAUUUUGGUACGGAUUUUUAGUGUUGCACUCUAAAUCUUAAAGGAUUUGAAGUUGCGAAAUAAAAAAACCUUGUUGCACUUGAAUGAUUGUUUAAGGGCUUCUUGUGCUUAUUUUCCCCUAAUAUUUUCAGGUUUCUAUCAUAAUUUUUUGUCAUAUUACGAAAGAAAUUAGUUUGCGUUCAAUAUCUUGUACGCCUUAUAAACUAACCCAUGUCCUAAUAUUGAAGUGUGUUCAAUUUUUGACAGUUUAUGCAGGGGCGAGAUAAGUAGAUAUGACUAUCAAUGACAGAGGUGAAAGACUUGAAAAUUCCUCUCUAGAGGGAGAUAGGUGAGAGUUUGAUUUUGUACAAAAGAAACUUCAAUUCGCUUGUGUGUAUUAUUGGAUGGUUGUAGAUUUAAGGGAGAUGGGAUGGGGUGGUAAGAAUUUUUUAAAAAAGUAAUCUAACAUAGGAUGUGCAUUUGUGGCUUCCGCAAUAGCCAAAAAAUAUCUCUAUAAUGUUCUUUUCAUAAUCUCAUGAGACUUCUUUAGCUUAACUAAACAUCACAUCUGCUAUUAAAAGCUACAUGGCAUAUGCGAUCUUGAUUGCUUUCCUUUUGAUGAAGUCGAUGCUCCUUCCAACUUUCCUCUUGAUUGAAUUUGUGUGCAUUAUUACUGAGAAUUCUUUGGUUUCAGCGCAAAGCUU